AGAGUUUGAUCCUGGCUCAGGAUGAACGCUAGCUACAGGCUUAACACAUGCAAGUCGAGGGGAAACGAUAAUGGAAGCUUGCUUCCGAUAGGCGUCGACCGGCGCACGGGUGAGUAACGCGUAUCCAACCUGCCCAUCACUUGGGAAUAACCUUGCGAAAGUAAGACUAAUGCCCAAUGACAUUUAUAGAAGGCAUCGGAAAUGAAUUAAAGAUUUAUCGGUGAUGGAUGGGGAUGCGUCUGAUUAGCUUGUUGGCGGGGUAACGGCCCACCAAGGCGACGAUCAGUAGGGGUUCUGAGAGGAAGGUCCCCCACAUUGGAACUGAGACACGGUCCAAACUCCUACGGGAGGCAGCAGUGAGGAAUAUUGGUCAAUGGGCGAGAGCCUGAACCAGCCAAGUAGCGUGCAGGAUGACGGCCCUAUGGGUUGUAAACUGCUUUUAUAGGGGAAUAAAGUGAGCCACGUGUGGUUUUUUGCAUGUACCCUAUGAAUAAGGACCGGCUAAUUCCGUGUCAGCAGCCGCGGUAAUACGGAAGGUCCGGGCGUUAUCCGGAUUUAUUGGGUUUAAAGGGAGCGUAGGCCGGAGAUUAAGCGUGUUGUGAAAUGUAGAUGCUCAACAUCUGCACUGCAGCGCGAACUGGUUUCCUUGAGUACGCAUAAAGUGGGCGGAAUUCGUGGUGUAGCGGUGAAAUGCUUAGAUAUCACGAAGAACUCCGAUUGCGAAGGCAGCUCACUGGGGCGCAACUGACGCUGAAGCUCGAAAGCGCGGGUAUCGAACAGGAUUAGAUACCCUGGUAGUCCGCGCGGUAAACGAUGGAUGCCCGCUGUUGGGCCAACUGGUUCAGCGGCCAAGCGAAAGCAUUAAGCAUCCCACCUGGGGAGUACGCUGGCAACGGUGAAACUCAAAGGAAUUGACGGGGGCCCGCACAAGCGGAGGAACAUGUGGUUUAAUUCGAUGAUACGCGAGGAACCUUACCCGGGCUCAAACGUCGGGCGAAUCAUCCUGAAAGGGGUGAGCCAGCAAUGGCGGCCGACGAGGUGCUGCAUGGUUGUCGUCAGCUCGUGCCGUGAGGUGUCGGCUUAAGUGCCAUAACGAGCGCAACCCCCGCGUCCAGUUGCCAGCGAUUGAAGUCGGGCACUCUGGACGGACUGCCGGCGCAAGCCGCGAGGAAGGCGGGGAUGACGUCAAAUCAGCACGGCCCUUACGUCCGGGGCGACACACGUGUUACAAUGGCGUGGAACAGAGGGAAGCCACCUGGCGACAGGGAGCGGAACCCGAAAACACGUCUCAGUUCGGAUUGGAGUCUGCAACUCGACUCCAUGAAGCUGGAUUCGCUAGUAAUCGCGCAUCAGCCAUGGCGCGGUGAAUACGUUCCCGGGCCUUGUACACACCGCCCGUCAAGCCAUGGGAGCCGGGAGUGCCUGAAGGCCGUAACCGCAAGGAGCGGUCAAGGGUAAGACUGGUGACUGGGGCUAAGUCGUAACAAGGUA
RNAcentral lists this ribosomal RNA (1491 nucleotides) under metagenome. RNAcentral's name for it is "bacterial SSU rRNA". It matches the Rfam family "Bacterial small subunit ribosomal RNA". The record is from RNAcentral.